GAUGAACGCUGGCGGCGUGCCUAAUACAUGCAAGUCGAGCGAACAGACGAGGAGCUGCUCCUCUGACGUUAGCGGCGGACGGGUGAGUAACACGUGGAUAACCUACCUAUAAGACUGGGAUAACUUCGGGAAACCGGAGCUAAUACCGGAUAAUAUAUUGAACCGCAUGGUUCAAUAGUGAAAGACGGUUUUGCUGUCACUUAUAGAUGGAUCCGCGCCGCAUUAGCUAGUUGGUAAGGUAACGGCUUACCAAGGCAACGAUGCGUAGCCGACCUGAGAGGGUGAUCGGCCACACUGGAACUGAGACACGGUCCAGACUCCUACGGGAGGCAGCAGUAGGGAAUCUUCCGCAAUGGGCGAAAGCCUGACGGAGCAACGCCGCGUGAGUGGUGAAGGUCUUCGGAUCGUAAAACUCUGUUAUUAGGGAAGAACAAAUGUGUAAGUAACUAUGCACGUCUUGACGGUACCUAAUCAGAAAGCCACGGCUAACUACGUG
Molecule: ribosomal RNA, 496 nt
Filed under: uncultured bacterium
Lineage: Bacteria
Description: partial 16S ribosomal RNA
Rfam family: Bacterial small subunit ribosomal RNA
Source: RNAcentral